Molecule: ribosomal RNA, 2933 nt
Filed under: Bacillus velezensis
Lineage: Bacteria; Bacillati; Bacillota; Bacilli; Caryophanales; Bacillaceae
Description: 23S ribosomal RNA
Rfam family: Bacterial large subunit ribosomal RNA
Source: RNAcentral
CGGUUAAGUUAGAAAGGGCGCACGGUGGAUGCCUUGGCACUAGGAGCCGAUGAAGGACGGGACGAACACCGAUAUGCUUCGGGGAGCUGUAAGCAAGCUUUGAUCCGGAGAUUUCCGAAUGGGGAAACCCACCACUCGUAAUGGAGUGGUAUCCAUAUCUGAAUACAUAGGAUAUGAGAAGGCAGACCCGGGGAACUGAAACAUCUAAGUACCCGGAGGAAGAGAAAGCAAAUGCGAUUCCCUGAGUAGCGGCGAGCGAAACGGGACCAGCCCAAACCAAGAGGCUUGCCUCUUGGGGUUGUAGGACACUCUGUACGGAGUUACAAAGGAACGAGGUAGAUGAAGAGGUCUGGAAAGGCCCGCCAUAGAAGGUAACAGCCCUGUAGUCAAAACUUCGUUCUCUCCUGAGUGGAUCCUGAGUACGGCGGAACACGUGAAAUUCCGUCGGAAUCCGGGAGGACCAUCUCCCAAGGCUAAAUACUCCCUAGUGACCGAUAGUGAACCAGUACCGUGAGGGAAAGGUGAAAAGCACCCCGGAAGGGGAGUGAAAGAGAUCCUGAAACCGUGUGCCUACAAGUAGUCAGAGCCCGUUAAUGGGUGAUGGCGUGCCUUUUGUAGAAUGAACCGGCGAGUUACGAUCCCGUGCAAGGUUAAGCAGAAGAUGCGGAGCCGCAGCGAAAGCGAGUCUGAAUAGGGCGAAUUGAGUACGUGGUCGUAGACCCGAAACCAGGUGAUCUACCCAUGUCCAGGGUGAAGUUCAGGUAACACUGAAUGGAGGCCCGAACCCACGCACGUUGAAAAGUGCGGGGAUGAGGUGUGGGUAGGGGUGAAAUGCCAAUCGAACCUGGAGAUAGCUGGUUCUCUCCGAAAUAGCUUUAGGGCUAGCCUCAAGGUAAGAGUCUCGGAGGUAGAGCACUGAUUGGACUAGGGGCCCCUACCGGGUUACCGAAUUCAGUCAAACUCCGAAUGCCGAUGACUUAUCCUUGGGAGUCAGACUGCGAGUGAUAAGAUCCGUAGUCGAAAGGGAAACAGCCCAGACCGCCAGCUAAGGUCCCAAAGUAUACGUUAAGUGGAAAAGGAUGUGGAGUUGCUUAGACAACCAGGAUGUUGGCUUAGAAGCAGCCACCAUUUAAAGAGUGCGUAAUAGCUCACUGGUCGAGUGACUCUGCGCCGAAAAUGUACCGGGGCUAAACGUAUCACCGAAGCUGCGGACUGUUCUUCGAACAGUGGUAGGAGAGCGUUCUAAGGGCUGUGAAGCAAGACCGGAAGGACUUGUGGAGCGCUUAGAAGUGAGAAUGCCGGUAUGAGUAGCGAAAGAGGGGUGAGAAUCCCCUCCACCGAAUGCCUAAGGUUUCCUGAGGAAGGCUCGUCCGCUCAGGGUUAGUCGGGACCUAAGCCGAGGCCGAAAGGCGUAGGCGAUGGAUAACAGGUUGAUAUUCCUGUACCACCUCCUCACCAUUUGAGCAAUGGGGGACGCAGGAGGAUAGGGUAAGCGCGGUAUUGGAUAUCCGCGUCCAAGCAGUUAGGCUGGGAAAUAGGCAAAUCCGUUUCCCGUGAAGGCUGAGCUGUGAUGGCGAGCGAAUUAUAGUAGCGAAGUUCCUGAUUCCACACUGCCAAGAAAAGCCUCUAGCGAGGUGAGAGGUGCCCGUACCGCAAACCGACACAGGUAGGCGAGGAGAGAAUCCUAAGGUGAUCGAGAGAACUCUCGUUAAGGAACUCGGCAAAAUGACCCCGUAACUUCGGGAGAAGGGGUGCUCUGUUAGGGUGCAAGCCCGAGAGAGCCGCAGUGAAUAGGCCCAGGCGACUGUUUAGCAAAAACACAGGUCUCUGCGAAGCCGUAAGGCGAAGUAUAGGGGCUGACGCCUGCCCGGUGCUGGAAGGUUAAGAGGAGCGCUUAGCGUAAGCGAAGGUGCGAAUUGAAGCCCCAGUAAACGGCGGCCGUAACUAUAACGGUCCUAAGGUAGCGAAAUUCCUUGUCGGGUAAGUUCCGACCCGCACGAAAGGCGCAACGAUCUGGGCACUGUCUCAACGAGAGACUCGGUGAAAUUAUAGUACCUGUGAAGAUGCAGGUUACCCGCGACAGGACGGAAAGACCCCGUGGAGCUUUACUGCAGCCUGAUAUUGAAUGUUGGUACAGCUUGUACAGGAUAGGUAGGAGCCUUGGAAACCGGAGCGCCAGCUUCGGUGGAGGCAUCGGUGGGAUACUACCCUGGCUGUAUUGACCUUCUAACCCGCCGCCCUUAUCGGGCAGGGAGACAGUGUCAGGUGGGCAGUUUGACUGGGGCGGUCGCCUCCUAAAAGGUAACGGAGGCGCCCAAAGGUUCCCUCAGAAUGGUUGGAAAUCAUUCGCAGAGUGUAAAGGCACAAGGGAGCUUGACUGCGAGACCUACAAGUCGAGCAGGGACGAAAGUCGGGCUUAGUGAUCCGGUGGUUCCGCAUGGAAGGGCCAUCGCUCAACGGAUAAAAGCUACCCCGGGGAUAACAGGCUUAUCUCCCCCAAGAGUCCACAUCGACGGGGAGGUUUGGCACCUCGAUGUCGGCUCAUCGCAUCCUGGGGCUGUAGUCGGUCCCAAGGGUUGGGCUGUUCGCCCAUUAAAGCGGUACGCGAGCUGGGUUCAGAACGUCGUGAGACAGUUCGGUCCCUAUCCGUCGCGGGCGCAGGAAAUUUGAGAGGAGCUGUCCUUAGUACGAGAGGACCGGGAUGGACGCACCGCUGGUGUACCAGUUGUUCUGCCAAGGGCAUCGCUGGGUAGCUAUGUGCGGACGGGAUAAGUGCUGAAAGCAUCUAAGCAUGAAGCCCCCCUCAAGAUGAGAUUUCCCAUUCCGCAAGGAAGUAAGAUCCCUGAAAGAUGAUCAGGUUGAUAGGUCUGAGGUGGAAGUGUGGCGACACAUGGAGCUGACAGAUACUAAUCGAUCGAGGACUUAACCAAUUU